Long non-coding RNA from Salmo salar (Atlantic salmon), 572 nucleotides. RefSeq lists it as uncharacterized. The record is from RefSeq and is a predicted model, not a curated record. NCBI's taxonomy places the organism in Eukaryota, Metazoa, Chordata, Actinopteri, Salmoniformes, Salmonidae.
CUGAUAUGUACACAGCAGCAAAUGCAGACAGGGUUGCAUGCUGGGAGGGAAAGGUUUUCCUGUCAAGAAACAGAAAACGUGUUAGCGUUGAGACAAAAUGGUAGAAAAGCAGAAAGACAGACACCGUAUGUCACACAGCUUUGAUCAUAACUUGAAAGGGGAGAGAACAGCGCCAGUGUGGCAUAAGGAAUAAAGAUCACACCUGCACAUUGCUACAAUGCAGCCUACCUAAGACUGAAUAAGAAUGGAUAAUUUACUUGAAAGCAACAUGGAGGAAAGGACAACUUGCUAUGGCUUUCACCUACCCAGUCUGUUUAGAUCAGUGGUCCAGAGAGGAAGAAAACACGAAAAUGUGGCUUUUCAACAGUAUUGGGACACAUCCUCAGCCAGAGAAAAUAAGAUGGCCUGUCCAAGGCUGCAUUCCAAUAUUAUUUCCAAUUUGAAAUAAUUUUCUGUCCUCAUCUCCACUGAACCAAUGCAUCAGUAUUCCUUUAAGGUUCAUGUUUUUCUCUGUAAGUGUAACUGAAUGUACAAGUAGUUGAGCUUUAGUAAACAAUGUCCUUGAAAACCCA